AGGGGAUAGCCGUUGGAAACGACGAAUAAUACCCUAUGAAACUAUCACUUCGCAUGAAGCGAUAGUCAAAGUGUUAGCGGUGUAAGAUGGACUUGCGUCUGAUUAGCUAGUUGGUGAGAAAAAAGACCCACCAAGGCAACGAUCAGUAGCCGGCUUGAGAGAGUGUACGGCCACAUUGGGACUGAGAUACGGCCCAG
RNAcentral lists this ribosomal RNA (197 nucleotides) under uncultured Eubacteriales bacterium. RNAcentral describes it as "uncultured Clostridiales bacterium partial 16S ribosomal RNA". It matches the Rfam family "Bacterial small subunit ribosomal RNA", at positions 138 to 334 of the family's 1533-position model. Lineage: Bacteria; Bacillati; Bacillota; Clostridia; Eubacteriales. The record is from RNAcentral.